Molecule: ribosomal RNA, 486 nt
Filed under: uncultured bacterium
Lineage: Bacteria
Description: bacterial SSU rRNA
Rfam family: Bacterial small subunit ribosomal RNA
Source: RNAcentral
GACGACGCUGGCGGGCGUGGAUUAGGCAUGCAAGUCGAACGGUAUCAUCCUUCGGGGGUGAGAGAGUGGCGAACUGGUGAGUAACACGUAGGUUAUCUACCCUCAAGACGGGGACAACCCAGGGAAACUUGGGCUAAUACCGGAUGUGAGCAACUUUUAGUUGUUUGAAAGGUGGCGUAAGCUGUCGCUUGGGGAUGAGCCUGCGUCCUAUUAGUUAGUUGGUGAGGUAACGGCUCACCUAGGCAAUGAUAGGUAGGCGGCCUUAACGGGUGGUCGCCCACACUGGGAUUGAGAUACGGCCCAGACUCCUACGGGAGGCAGCAGUCGAGAAUAGUCUACAAUGGUCGGAAGACUGAUAGUGCGACGCCGCGUGAACGAUGAAUCCCUUCGGGGUGUAAAGUUCUUUUAUAUGUGAGCAGUGCUUCUUAUAUUAACAGUAUGGGGAGAGAGAUAUUAGCAUAUGAAUAAGCAACGGCUAACUCCGUG